CAGCAGCCGCGGUAAUACGGAUGGUGCAAGCGUUGUUCGGAAUUACUGGGCGUAAAGAGUAUGUACGCAGCGAAAUAUGUCUGAUGUGAAAUACCUGGGCUUAACCAGGGAACUGCAUUGGAAACUGCUUUGCUAGAGUGUGAGAGAAGAUAGUGGAAUUCCUAGUGUAGAGGUGAAAUUCGUAGAUACUAGGAGGAACACCAGAGGCGAAGGCGGCUAUCUGGAUCACCACUGACGCUGAGAUACGAAAGCGUGGGUAGCAAACAGGAUUAGAUACCCUGGUAGUCCACGCCGUAAACGAUGAUAACUAGACGUCGGAGGUAUUGACCCCUUCGGUGUCGCAGCUAACGCAUUAAGUUAUCCGCCUGGGGAGUACGGUCGCAAGAUUAAAACUCAAAGGAAUUGACCGGGGCCCGCACAAGCGGUGGAGUAUGUGGUUUAAUUCGACACAACGCGAAGAACCUUACCUAGACUAGAAACUGAGUUAGAACGGUUUUCAGAGAUGAAAUUCCUUCCCCCUUCGGGGGGAACUGGCUUACAGGUGCUGCAUGGCUGUCGUCAGCUCGUGUCGUGAGAUGUUGGGUUAAGUCCUGUAACGAGCGCAA
This 605-nucleotide ribosomal RNA is filed under the name uncultured bacterium BURTON-34. Its description in RNAcentral is "bacterial SSU rRNA". It matches the Rfam family "Bacterial small subunit ribosomal RNA", at positions 509 to 1101 of the family's 1533-position model. Lineage: Bacteria; Deltaproteobacteria. The record is from RNAcentral.